Long non-coding RNA from Helianthus annuus (common sunflower), 739 nucleotides. RefSeq lists it as uncharacterized. NCBI's taxonomy places the organism in Eukaryota, Viridiplantae, Streptophyta, Magnoliopsida, Asterales, Asteraceae. The transcript is spliced from 2 exons. The record is from RefSeq and is a predicted model, not a curated record.
UUCAUCUCUUUCCUUCCCCUCCACUUUCUCAAAACCCUAACCCCAACUUCCUAUUUUUUUUCUACAACACUCUCACCUUAUCUCCAUUUUCACCUCACAUAACACACACUUGCGUGUGUAGUUACCAGAGAGAUCGAGAGAGAGAGAUGAAACCAGUGGAUUUCUAGCCACCCAUGGCAGCCGCAGGUGGCGGCGCACGGUGCUGCACAGCGGUGGCCCCACCCUUCAUCUUUCCCUUCGUAUCUCCGGUGGCAGUCCAAGGUGGAUUUGGGUGGUUGUCACGAAAGUAAAGGGCAGCAGCACAUCAAAAUCGAAAUCGAAAAUCGAAUCUUUGUUAUUUACCUCCUUCCAUGAUUUCAAGCUGCAUUUGCUCAUCGAUUUGGUCAAUCUGCAUGUUUGACUUCUCACCACCUCUGAAAUAUCUGGGUUUGAUGAUGAUAUGUUCUUGAAGAUCUGGGUAAGAAGACGAAGAUGUUCUUGAAGAUCUGGGUUUGAAAGUGGUUUGAAGAUCUCAUGUGAAGAUGAUAAUUAUUGUUUCUUUUAUUUUUUAUAAAUCAGUAAAAGUAAAGGGGGAGGGGAAAUUACAAUUUUACCCAUCAUAUGCAACCCAUGUGACCAAGAAGUUAACCAGAGUUGGGGUUUGGUUAGAAUUAGGGGCCAAAAUGGUUAGAUAUAGGGACCAUGGGGGCAGAUACGUUAAAAAUUCUUAUUUUGGGCUAAUACAGUAAAACUGACAUAA